This 492-nucleotide ribosomal RNA is filed under the name uncultured bacterium. RNAcentral's name for it is "partial 16S ribosomal RNA". It matches the Rfam family "Bacterial small subunit ribosomal RNA", at positions 29 to 523 of the family's 1533-position model. The record is from RNAcentral.
AUUGAACGCUGGCGGCAGGCCUAACACAUGCAAGUCGAGCGGCAGCACUUCGGGUGGCGAGCGGCGAACGGGUGAGUAAUACAUGGGAAUCUGCCCAGUAGUGGGGGAUAACUUCGGGAAACUGGAGGUAAUACCGCAUACGUCCUACGGGAGAAAGCAGGGGAUCGCAAGACCUUGCGCUAUUGGAGGAGCCCAUGUCCGAUUAGCUAGUUGGUGAGGUAAAGGCUCACCAAGGCAACGAUCGGUAACUGGUCUGAGAGGAUGGUCAGUCACACUGGAGCUGAGACACGGUCCAGACUCCUACGGGAGGCAGCAGUGGGGAAUAUUGGACAAUGGGGGCAACCCUGAUCCAGCCAUGCCGCGUGUGUGAAGAAGGCCUUCGGGUUGUAAAGCACUUUAAGCAGGGAGGAAGGCUCGUACGUUAAUACCGUGCGGGAGUGACGUUACCUGCAGAAUAAGCACCGGCAAACUCCGUGCCAGCCGCCGCCGUAA